RNAcentral lists this ribosomal RNA (207 nucleotides) under uncultured bacterium. RNAcentral describes it as "partial 16S ribosomal RNA". It matches the Rfam family "Bacterial small subunit ribosomal RNA", at positions 568 to 774 of the family's 1533-position model. The record is from RNAcentral.
UGCGUAGGUGGUAAGGCAAGUCAGGUGUGAAAUCUCCGGGCUCAACCCGGAAAUGGCAUUCGAAACUACCUUGCUAGAGGGUUUGAGGGGGGACUGGAAUACUUGGUGUAGCAGUGAAAUGCGUAGAUAUCAAGUGGAACACCAGUGGCGAAGGCGAGUCCCUGGAAAACUCCUGACACUGAGGCACGAAAGCUAGGGAAGCAAACA